AGCUCCAAUAGCGUAUAUUAAUGUUGUUGCAGUUAAAAAGUUCGUAGUUGGAUUUCAGGCUGGGGCGACCGGUCCGAGCUCACAAGCUCGUGCACUCGUGUCGCGCCGGCCUUCCUUAUGGAGAACGCGUUUCCGGGUUCAUUCUCGGGGCGCGGGAUUCAUAUCAUUUACUGCGAGAAAAUUGAAGGGCUCCAACCAGGCACUUCUGCUUUGAACAAUUUAGCAUGGAAUAAUAAGAUAGGACCUUGGUACUAUUUUGUUGGUUUGCAUACCUUGGUAAUGAUUAAUAGGAACAGCCGGGGGCAUUCGUAUUCAAUUGUCAGAGGUGAAAUUCAAGGAUUUUUUGAAGACGAACUACAGCGCAAGCAUUUGCCCAGAAUGUCUCCAUUAAUCAAGAACG
RNAcentral lists this ribosomal RNA (400 nucleotides) under phytoplankton environmental sample. Its description in RNAcentral is "partial small subunit ribosomal RNA". It matches the Rfam family "Eukaryotic small subunit ribosomal RNA", at positions 587 to 985 of the family's 1831-position model. The record is from RNAcentral.